CAGCUCCAAUAGCGUAUAUUUAAGUUGCUGCAGUUAAAAAGCUCGUAGUUGGAUUUCGGGUGGGGCCUGCCGGUCCGCCGUUUCGGUGUGCACUGGCCGGGCCACCUUGUUGCCGGGGACGGGCUCCUGGGCUUCACUGUCCGGGGACUCGGAGUCGGCGAGGUUACUUUGAGUAAAUUAGAGUGUUCAAAGCGGGCUUA
Molecule: ribosomal RNA, 200 nt
Filed under: uncultured eukaryote
Lineage: Eukaryota
Description: partial 18S ribosomal RNA
Rfam family: Eukaryotic small subunit ribosomal RNA
Source: RNAcentral